RNAcentral lists this ribosomal RNA (497 nucleotides) under uncultured Trebouxia photobiont. Its description in RNAcentral is "partial large subunit ribosomal RNA". It matches the Rfam family "Eukaryotic large subunit ribosomal RNA", at positions 1 to 499 of the family's 3401-position model. The record is from RNAcentral. Lineage: Eukaryota; Viridiplantae; Chlorophyta; Trebouxiophyceae; Trebouxiales; Trebouxiaceae.
UUUCGACCUGAGGUCAGGCAAGAACACCCGCUGAACUUAAGCAUAUCAAUAAGCGGAGGAAAAGAAACUAACUAGGAUUCCCUUAGUAGCGGCGAGCGAACCGGGAAAAGCCCAACUUGUAAAUCAUUAGCCUUUGGCUAAUUGAAUUGUAGUCUCAAGGUGUGUUCUCUGUAGCAAGCUGUGCCCAAUUUUCCUUGGAAAAGGGAGUCAGAGAGGGUGAGAACCCCGUCGGCGCAUGUUUCAGCUACUCCACGAGACACUCUCUCAGAGUCGGGUUGCUUGGGAAUGCAGCCCUAAGUAGGUGGUAAAUCCCAUCUAAGGCUAAAUACUGACGGGAGACCGAUAGCGAACAAGUACCGUGAGGGAAAGAUGAAAAGAACUUUGAAAAGAGAGUCAAAAGUGCUUGAAAUUGUUGAGGGGGAAGGAAUUGGAAGCCGUAGGUGCUCUCUAGCUUAAGUGGGCAAUUCUGCCUUCUGUACGCUCUGAGAGCCGGUCAG